UGUGUAGGCGGUGCUCCAAGUCUGUUGUGAAAUCUCCCGGCUUAACCGGGAGGGUGCGGCGGAAACUGGUGUGCUAGAGGGUGGGAGAGGUAAGCGGAAUUCCUGGUGUAGCGGUGAAAUGCGUAGAUAUCAGGAGGAACACCUGUGGUGUAGACAGCUUACUGGACCACUUCUGACGCUGAGACACGAAAGCGUGGUAGCAAACA
Molecule: ribosomal RNA, 206 nt
Filed under: uncultured bacterium
Lineage: Bacteria
Description: partial 16S ribosomal RNA
Rfam family: Bacterial small subunit ribosomal RNA
Source: RNAcentral